Molecule: transfer RNA, 84 nt
Filed under: Sphingobacteriaceae bacterium
Lineage: Bacteria; Pseudomonadati; Bacteroidota; Sphingobacteriia; Sphingobacteriales; Sphingobacteriaceae
Also listed under: 1 other name
Description: tRNA-Leu
Rfam family: tRNA
About the family: Transfer RNA (tRNA) molecules are approximately 80 nucleotides in length.
Source: RNAcentral
GCUUGGGUGGUGGAAUUGGUAGACACGCAGGACUUAAAAUCCUGUAUCUUCACGGAUGUACGGGUUCAAGUCCCGUCCCGAGUA